This is a small nucleolar RNA of Ornithorhynchus anatinus (platypus), 138 nucleotides long. Lineage: Eukaryota; Metazoa; Chordata; Mammalia; Monotremata; Ornithorhynchidae. The record is from RefSeq and is a predicted model, not a curated record.
CUCCUCUCAGGGUCACACCUGGAGAAUUUUCAGUGUUCUACCAGUCUGGACUGUGGGAGGGAGAAUCAAGCAGAAGCAUAUCUAUUCCGUUCCUAGCUUGGGCAGUGGCUAGCGAGUGGAAGGCCAUCUGCUACGAGU